RNAcentral lists this transfer RNA (71 nucleotides) under Basidiobolus meristosporus CBS 931.73. It matches the Rfam family "tRNA". From Rfam's summary of the family: Transfer RNA (tRNA) molecules are approximately 80 nucleotides in length. Their secondary structure includes four short double-helical elements and three loops (D, anti-codon, and T loops). Lineage: Eukaryota; Fungi; Basidiobolomycota; Basidiobolomycetes; Basidiobolales; Basidiobolaceae. The record is from Rfam by way of RNAcentral.
UCCUCAUUGGUCCAGUGGUUAGGAUUUCUCGCUUUCACCGAGACGGCCGGGUUCGAUUCCCCGAUGGGGAA